CGACAGCCUCAGAAACCAGGCCCCUGCAACUGUUUAUUAAAAACAUAGCACUCUGCAAACACGAAAGUGGACGUAUAGGGUGUGAUGCCUGCCCGGUGCUGGAAGGUUAAUUGAUGGGGUUAGCGUAAGCGAAGCUCUUGAUCGAAGCCCCAGUAAACGGCGGCCGUAACUAUAACGGUCCUAAGGUAGCGAAAUUCCUUGUCGGGUAAGUUCCGACCUGCACGAAUGGCAUAAUGAUGGGGGCGCUGUCUCCAGCAGAGACUCAGUGAAAUCGAAUUCGCCGUGAAGAUGCGGUGUACCCGCGGCUAGACGGAAAGACCCCGUGAACCUUUACUGCAGCUUGACAUUGAACUUUGAUCUUACUUGUGUAGGAUAGGUGGGAGGCUUUGAAGUCGCGACGCUAGUUGCGAUGGAGCCGUCCUUGAAAUACCACCCUGGUAAUAUUGAGGUUCUAACUCUGUCCCGUUAUCCGGGACGAGGACCAUGUCUGGUGGGUAGUUUGACUGGGGCGGUCUCCUCCUAAAGAGUAACGGAGGAGUACGAAGGUGCGCUCAGCGUGGUCGGAAAUCACGCGUAGAGUAUAAAGGCAAAAGCGCGCUUAACUGCGAGACCCACAAGUCGAGCAGGUACGAAAGUAGGUCUUAGUGAUCCGGUGGUUCUGUAUGGAAGGGCCAUCGCUCAACGGAUAAAAGGUACUCUGGGGAUAACAGGCUGAUACCGCCCAAGAGUUCAUAUCGACGGCGGUGUUUGGCACCUCGAUGUCGGCUCAUCUCAUCCUGGGGCUGAAGCAGGUCCCAAGGGUAUGGCUGUUCGCCAUUUAAAGAGGUACGCGAGCUGGGUUUAGAACGUCGUGAGACAGUUCGGUCCCUAUCUACCGUGGGCGUUGGAAAUUUGAGAGGAUCUGCUCCUAGUACGAGAGGACCAGAGUGGACGAACCUCUGGUGUACCGGUUGUCACGCCAGUGGCAUCGCCGGGUAGCUAUGUUCGGAAGGGAUAACCGCUGAAAGCAUCUAAGCGGGAAGCCUACCUCAAGAUAAGAUUUCCCCGAGACUUUAUGUCUCCUAAAGAGCCGUUGAAGACUACGACGUUGAUAGGUUGGAUGUGGAAGCAUAGUGAUAUGUGAAGCUGACCAAUACUAAUUGCUCGUGAGGCUUGACUAU
Molecule: ribosomal RNA, 1160 nt
Filed under: Acinetobacter lwoffii
Lineage: Bacteria; Pseudomonadati; Pseudomonadota; Gammaproteobacteria; Moraxellales; Moraxellaceae
Also listed under: 2 other names
Description: partial 23S ribosomal RNA
Rfam family: Bacterial large subunit ribosomal RNA
Source: RNAcentral